RNAcentral lists this long non-coding RNA (1058 nucleotides) under Ricinus communis (castor bean). RNAcentral's name for it is "long non-coding RNA (RCOM_LNC001368)". Lineage: Eukaryota; Viridiplantae; Streptophyta; Magnoliopsida; Malpighiales; Euphorbiaceae. The record is from RNAcentral.
UCGGCUGUCUAGUGUGCAGAUUGAUGAGCUAACUGCGAGAUUUGAUCAUAUCACCGACAUAUAGCAACAGCACACAGAUAGGUUCAACAGGUUUAAGCAAAAGGUUCGAGCGCAGUUUCAGCAUUUUAAUGCUACAUAGAGGCAGAUUCUGGAUCUCCUAAAUAGGCAGUUGGCCCAGGGAGACAGGAUAGAGGCAGCCUUCCAUAAGAAUAGGACAAACGAUUUUGACUUCGCUGAUUUUGAUGAAUUCUUCCCAACUCUAGCUGGCGAUAAUGCACCCCCUCCAGCAGCACCAUCUUAGCCACCACCACCCAACAAGAUGAGUAGGGCAGUAUCUCUUUUUCUUUUUGAGUACUUAAUACGUUGCUUUCCAACUCUUUUAUACACUUUGGACAGUGUGUCCUUCAAGUGUAGGGUGGGUAAGUCGUUAUGGCUUUUCUUUUUCUUAUAUUUCUUGAUUGUGUUUAUUGUAUUGUUGAUGAUGUAAAUAUUUAGGAUACUUAGGAUGUUUAUUAGUUUUUGUUUAUCUUUGAAAGAUUGAUAGUUAUGAUUUUUCCUCCUUGUUAUUUGUUGCUUUUGGAAUAUUAUUGACCAAUUUUUAGUUUAUCAUUAUGGUUGGGAUAAACCAAUGUUACUUGACCAUUCUUUAAGUUGGUAAUUUAAAUUUGAUUAGUUGUUGUGUUUUGUCUAUGAAUUGAUUAAAUGAUGAUUUGAUUGAUGGUAUUUGGACACCUUUUGCAAAUGUACACACUUAAAUUGUAAGUUUUUGAACCUAAUUGAGCAUUCAUCGUAAAUGCUCCUUCCUUCUUGUUUGAGUGUGCAUUGUAUUCUUCUUAUUUCUAGAACUUGCUCGGUAAUGCUUGUUGAGGUUACAUAAACAAUCAAAUGUUAUAAAAUGAUAAGGGCACUUAGGAUUUACCAUUGCAACCAAAAGCCAACCUGUAGAUAUUUUUCAUUAGUUAGCCAAGUUUGAGCCUACCUACUUUCUUCAUUUUUACCAUUUUGAUUUAUCAUCAUACUUUGUUAAGCCUUUCAUUUGUUGAUCCCUACCCUAUUUC